GAUGAACGCUGGCGGCGUGCCUAAUACAUGCAAGUCGAGCGAACGGACGAGAAGUUUGCUUUUCUGAUGUUUGCGGCGCACGUGUGUGUAACACGUGGAUAACCUACCUAUAAGACUGGGAUAACUUCGGGACACCGGAUCUAAUACCGGAUAAUAUUUUGAACCGCAUGGUUCAAAAGUGAAAGACGGACUUGCUGUCACUUAUAGAUGGAUCCGCUCUGCAUUAGCUAGUUGGUAAGGUAACGCCUUACCACGGCAACGAUGCGUAGCCGACAUGAGAGGGUGGUCGGCCACACUGGAACUGAGGCACGGUCCAGACUCCUACGGGGGGAAGCGGUAGGGAAUCUUCCGCGAUGGGCGAAAGCCUAACAGAGCAACGCCGCGUAAGCGAUGAAGGAGUUCGGAUCGGAAAACUCUGUAAGUAGGAAAAAACAUAAGUGUAAGUAACUGUGCACAUCUUGACGGUACCUAAUCAGAAAGCCACGGCUAACUACGUG
This 497-nucleotide ribosomal RNA is filed under the name uncultured bacterium. RNAcentral's name for it is "partial 16S ribosomal RNA". It matches the Rfam family "Bacterial small subunit ribosomal RNA", at positions 28 to 507 of the family's 1533-position model. The record is from RNAcentral.